AACGAACGCUGGCGGCAUGCCUAACACAUGCAAGUCGAACGAGACCUUCGGGUCUAGUGGCGCACGGGUGCGUAACGCGUGGGAACCUGCCCUUAGGUUCGGAAUAACUCCCCGAAAGGGGUGCUAAUACCGGCUAAUGUCUUCGGACCAAAGAUUUAUCGCCUUUGGAUGGGCCCGCGUUGGAUUAGCUAGUUGGUAGGGUAAAAGCCUACCAAGGCGACGAUCCAUAGCUGGUCUGAGAGGAUGAUCAGCCACACUGGGACUGAGACACGGCCCAGACUCCUACGGGAGGCAGCAGUGGGGAAUAUUGGACAAUGGGCGAAAGGCUGAUCCAGCAAUGCCGCGUGAGUGAUGAAGGCCUUAGGGUUGGAAAGCUCUUUUACCCGGGAUGAUAAUGACAGUACCGGGAGAAUAAGCUCCGGCUAACUCCGUG
This 433-nucleotide ribosomal RNA is filed under the name uncultured bacterium. RNAcentral describes it as "partial 16S ribosomal RNA". It matches the Rfam family "Bacterial small subunit ribosomal RNA", at positions 29 to 507 of the family's 1533-position model. The record is from RNAcentral.